UUGCACGCUGGCGGCAGGCCUAACACAUGCAAGUCGAACGGUAACAGGAAGAAGCUUGCUUCUUUGCUGACGAGUGGCGGACGGGUGAGUAAUGUCUGGUAAACUGCCUGAUGGAGGGGGAUAACUACUGGAAACGGUAGCUAAUACCGCAUAACGUCGCAAGACCAAAGAGGGGGACCUUCGGGCCUCUUGCCAUCGGAUGUGCCCAGAUGGGAUUAGCUAGUAGGUGGGGUAACGGCUCACCUAGGCGACGAUCCCUAGCUGGUCUGAGAGGAUGACCAGCCACACUGGAACUGAGACACGGUCCAGACUCCUACGGGAGGCAGCAGUGGGGAAUAUUGCACAAUGGGCGCAAGCCUGAUGCAGCCAUGCCGCGUGUAUGAAGAAGGCCUUCGGGUUGUAAAGUACUUUCAGCGGGGAGGAAGGGAGUAAAGUUAAUACCUUGGCUCAUUGACGUUACCCGCAGAAGAAGCACCGGCUAACUCCGUG
This 489-nucleotide ribosomal RNA is filed under the name uncultured bacterium. RNAcentral's name for it is "partial 16S ribosomal RNA". It matches the Rfam family "Bacterial small subunit ribosomal RNA", at positions 30 to 507 of the family's 1533-position model. The record is from RNAcentral.